RNAcentral lists this long non-coding RNA (2315 nucleotides) under Cricetulus griseus (Chinese hamster). Its description in RNAcentral is "lncRNA (ENSCGRG00015042434.1)". The record is from RNAcentral. Lineage: Eukaryota; Metazoa; Chordata; Mammalia; Rodentia; Cricetidae.
CGGAGAACGGGGAGGAGAGGAGAGGAGACUUAGAUCAGCAUCAGCAUUCCAGGGGAAGUAUGCUGAAGAGGGAGUUGAUGGACCCACGGACCACUCAGCUCAAAGUGAAUAUCACUAAAGAGAAUCUUAGCGGUGCCCGAGAAAAUAUAGAAAAGAAGGUUUUAUUCAGAUCUGUUGCAAAAAGUACAGGGACCCAGAGCAAGAUUCUACUGGUGGGGAAGAGAGCAGGGCCUCAACACUGCAUGCAGUCAGCAAACUGAAGCUGAUAGCCCAGCCGCAGGUCAGUGUUGGUGAAUGGAAAAUUACUGAGGAGACAGCUUCUGGCUCAACCCAUCUGACAGGAUUCUUGAGGAAGGGUACUCAGACCUGACCCCUGGGGGAUGGUGGAGAUGGAGACUGAUCAGAUAGGAGGGUGGACAGAGACUGGGGACAAGGAAUUCUAACUAAACUGACUUCACAGAGGUCUUUGCCAAACUGGAUUCUCAAGGAAGUUCUCAGAUGGACCUGACAGGCAAUCGGAAGCCUGGCCAGUUUGCCCAAGCAAAGAGUCUUUGUCUACCUUUUGGGGUGGGGGGUGGAGGGGAUGGGGGUGGCUGGAGGUUAACUACAAGACAGGAGUAGAGAAUCCACAGGGCCUGCUGCGCUUGGGAGAUCUGAAAAGGCUGCGGGAGCACUGUAGAAGGUGCUGAGCAGGAAGCCCUGGGGAUAGAUACAGUGGGAGAUCCUGCAGUCGAUAGCGCAGAGAAUACCAGAAAGUUCCUAGUUAGGCUGAGCAGAAACGCAGAGGGGAGUGGGGCAGGCAACAGACAGCGUCAGGGUGGGAAAGGAGGGAGAGACUGAGAUAGAGCGAUUGGUGACCAAAGGCAUUGGAUGACAGGUUUAGAGAUGGAGAGCUAGAAAAUGCGCAUGUCUCAGGGAGCUUGAGAUCCAGUUUCUGGAGUUCACAGUUUAUUUCUAUCUGUAUUAUGUCUCUUCUGGCCUGGAAAAGAAGAAGAGGAACAAAGCCUUGGGGGCGUGGGGAGGGGGACAACGGGACAGCAUGGUACAUUGCCUGCAGGGCCCUGCCUCGGUUAAUUGUUCCCUGAAACUGUGGCGCCCUCUCCUGGUAUAUGGUAUUUACAUACAUGGGCAUCCUGCCCCAGCGUUCAUUUUCUCAGCCAUCACCCAAAGGCAAACGUAGCUGAACGGUUGGAAGCACUUUGUGAGCGCUGGGAGUCCCCUGCAAAGCAAAUGUCAGGACUGGAGCCCACACCAACGGUCUCCCUCUCUUGAACCCGGAAACCAGCCGGAACGUUCUCCUGUGUUGCUGCAGCGUGCAGGGGUGAGAGAGGAUGCGGAUCGGAAACGGAGGCUUGAGGGUAUCCGGCAUCUAGAGGGGAGCGUGGACAUGCCAAGCCCCGCAAACUCUUUGUGAACAGGAAACCCCUAGAAGCGCCCUAACAGCCAGAUUCUGCCCUGCUUUUCUGACACACUCCCUGAUGCCACCAUGGGUGCCAGCUUCUAACUGCUUGGAGAAGCAGGGAAGGCGCACAGAACAGGAACUGGUACUGCCGAAAACAUCCUUUCCAGUUAGGCUGCUGAGUGGGUGGGGUGGCCUCACAGGUGCAGAGCUUCAUCAAGACUGUGGACAACACCAUCCCCAUGGAGCUCAGUUCUGGUGAUGUCACUGAGAACGUCAAAGCCAAAAUCUAAGACAAGACAGGCGCCCCCACCUGACUGGCAGCAAUGGAUGCUCACUCACUGGUCUGCACGAAGCUUGGACGACAACAUGCAGAGCUCUGUCUGCACAGCACCAUCAUUCAGUCUUUCCUGCUCCAGCUUGCCCAGAAACAAAACUGCCCACAGGUCCAUUGAGAGUGUUAGGGCUGCCUGUACUCUGUGUCAUCAAUAGUCACAAGAAGGGUGGACACACUGACAUCUGCUACUAGCUGAAAGUCAAAUAAAGCCUUCCAGAACCUCUUUACUGGGCCCCUAUCACCGCAAGACCUCAGUAAAGUUGCCCUUACAUUGACUGGAGCAAUGAUUAAAAAGUGAAGGUGAAGAUAUAGUUGCUUGUCUGGUGACACUGCAUGCACAAGACAGAAAGGUAGCAUCUCAGCCUCUCACUACCUACCCAUCCCUUGCAUCCUGGAUUGUCCUUCGCUCACAUGAAGCUUCCCUGCCAUUACAAAGGGACAGCUAGUUCUAUCAGACCAACCAGACCUUUCUAAGGAGAAGGAAUCGGGGAGCAAGGCACAGUUCUCAGGUGCUCAGGGAGUGCAGGUGGAGGCCUUGUACCUCCUGGUCACGAAGACAUACUGUGGACAACAAAUCAG